Oncorhynchus keta (chum salmon) is the source of this 627-nucleotide long non-coding RNA. RefSeq lists it as uncharacterized. NCBI's taxonomy places the organism in Eukaryota, Metazoa, Chordata, Actinopteri, Salmoniformes, Salmonidae. The record is from RefSeq and is a predicted model, not a curated record. The transcript has 4 exons.
GUCCCAGUUUACCUAAAUCCUUCAAUGGAUUCUACCAGGUCCCAGUUUACCUAAACCCUUCAAUGGAUUCUACCAGGUCCCAGACAGUUUACCUAAACCCUCCAAUGGAUUCUACCAGGUCCCAGUUUACCUAAACCCUUCAAUGGAUUCUACCAGGUCCCAGACAGUUUACCUAAACCCUUCAAUGGAUUCUACCAGGUCCCAGACAGUUUACCUAAACCCUUCAAUGGAUUCUACCAGGUCCCAGUUUACCUAAACCCUUCAAUGGAUUCUACCAGGUCCCAGACAGUUUACCUAAACCCUUCAAUGGAUUCUACCAGGUCCCAGUUUACCUAAACCCUUCAAUGGAUUCUACCAGGUCCCAGUUUACCUAAACCCUACAAUGGAUUCUACCAGGUCCCAGACAGUUUACCUAAACCCUUCAAUGGAUUCUACCAGGUCCCAGACAGUUUACCUAAACCCUUCAAUGGAUUCUACCAGGUCCCAGUUUACCUAAACCCUUCAAUGGAUUCUACCAGGUCCCAGUUUACCUAAACCCUACAAUGGAUUCUACCAGGUCCCAGACAGUUUACCUAAACCCUUCAAUGGAUUCUACCAGGUCCCAGUUUACCUAAACCCUCCAAUGGA